UGGUACAAGUAGGAGCUACCCGCUUCUCACCUGAAUAACGCGUUAAAGCUGUUACCAGGUAUGUGAUUGACUAUUAAAGCCAUUUAUAUAUGCUUAAUAAUCAGGUGCGGGUGUUUCGACACUCGCAUCUUUUUUUUGUG
This is a regulatory RNA element of 140 nucleotides. It matches the Rfam family "Ribosomal protein L20 leader". From Rfam's summary of the family: This family is a putative r-protein leader autoregulatory structure found in B. subtilis and other low-GC Gram-positive bacteria. It is located in the 5' untranslated regions of mRNAs encoding initiation factor 3 followed by ribosomal proteins L35 and L20 (infC-rpmI-rplT). The record is from Rfam.